GCCCGAGACUGUGCUCGGAGGCCUCUGCCAUGAGGCAGCUCAGGGCUGUGCUGCUGCUGGCACUGCUGCUCUGCAGCCUGGCAGCUGCUGCUCCUUCCAACGGGACCCCUCCUGCACCCCCGCCCCCCCUCGUCCCCUCCCUGGCAGGUGUGGCUGUAGUGCCCAGGGUGAACACUGGGCUGUGGGCACUGCUGGUGGAUGCUUUGGACCAGCUGCUGAGGGCAGCGAGCGCCAAUAUCAUUGGGUGACAGCGAGCAGCCAGCACAGGCUGGCUCCGGGCACCAGGAUGUGGCCUCCUCCUGCUCCUCCUCCCUGGCAGCAUCCCUGGCACCACGCAGGCUCCCAGCGGCUCCUGGACCCCCUCCGCGGCUGGGGCUGAGCUUCAGCUUCUGCCACUGCUCCUCUGCCACCUCCUGCCACUGCUCCUCUGCCACCUCCUGCCUGCCUCUGCUGCCCCAAGGCACCAAUAAAGCA
Molecule: long non-coding RNA, 474 nt
Organism: Pogoniulus pusillus (Red-fronted tinkerbird)
Lineage: Eukaryota; Metazoa; Chordata; Aves; Piciformes; Lybiidae
Exons: 5
Source: RefSeq, a predicted model, not a curated record